GACAGAGGAUGCAAGCGUUACCCGGAAUGAUUGGGCGUAAAGCGUCUGUAGGUGGCUUUUUAAGUUCGCCGUCAAAUCCCAGGGCUCAACCCUGGACAGGUGGUGGAAACUACCAAGCUAGAGUACGGUAGGGGCAGAGGGAAUUUCCGGUGGAGCGAUGAAAUGCGUAGAGAUCGGAAGGAACACCCAAGGCGAAAGCACUCUGCUGGGCCGACACUGACACUGAGAGACGAAAGCUAGGGGAGCAAAUGGG
This 253-nucleotide ribosomal RNA is filed under the name uncultured bacterium. RNAcentral's name for it is "partial 16S ribosomal RNA". It matches the Rfam family "Bacterial small subunit ribosomal RNA", at positions 524 to 776 of the family's 1533-position model. The record is from RNAcentral.